Molecule: ribosomal RNA, 598 nt
Filed under: Stutzerimonas stutzeri
Lineage: Bacteria; Pseudomonadati; Pseudomonadota; Gammaproteobacteria; Pseudomonadales; Pseudomonadaceae
Description: bacterial SSU rRNA
Rfam family: Bacterial small subunit ribosomal RNA
Source: RNAcentral
GCCGCAAGGUUAAAACUCAAAUGAAUUGACGGGGGCCCGCACCAGCGGUGGAAGCAUGUGGUUUUAAAUUGAAGCAACGCGAAGAACCUUACCAGGCCUUGACAUGCAGAGAACUUUCCAGAGAUGGAUUGGUGCCUUUGGGAAAUUUGACACAGGUGCUGCAUUGCUGUUGUCAGCUUGUGUCGUGAGAUGGUGGGUUAAGUCCCGUAACGAGCGCAACCCUUGUCCUUAGUUUCCAGCACGUUAAGGUGGGCACUCUAAGGAGACUGCCGGUGACAAACCGGAGGAAGGUGGGGAUGACGUCAAGUCAUCAUGGCCCUUACGCCCUGGGCUCCACACGUGCUACAAUGGUCGGUACAAAGGGUUGCCAAGCCGCGAGGUGGAGCUAAUCCCAUAAAACCGAUCGUAGUCCGGAUCGCAGUCUGCAACUCGACUGCGUGAAGUCGGAAUCGCUAGUAAAAUGAAUCAGAAUGUCACGGUGAAUACGUUCCCGGGCCUUGUACACCCCGCCCAUCACACCAUGGGAGUGGGUGCUCCAGAAGAACAGAGUUUGAUCCUGGCUCAGAUGAACGCUGCGCAGCUAAAGGUAAAAAUAAUG